Long non-coding RNA from Parasteatoda tepidariorum (common house spider), 4034 nucleotides. The record is from RefSeq and is a predicted model, not a curated record. NCBI's taxonomy places the organism in Eukaryota, Metazoa, Arthropoda, Arachnida, Araneae, Theridiidae.
CGAAAAAUUCUGAUUUUUGUGUUUUUAUACUAAUUACAUAGAUUUAGAAGACUCAAACUUUUGACCACUUGAAAAUGUUGAUCUCUCUUUAAGACGUUUCUAAGUAUUUUUAAUUUUAGUUUUUUUAAAGUAAUAUCGCAAUCUCUUACAGAUUUUCAUCCAGGUUACAUGGAUGUGGUUUUAUGGAGAAUAUAUCUGGAGAUGCGACUACAAUAAUAAUGAUGGUGGAAAUAUUUGCCUAAAUGCAUGGAAAGACACUUUAUUUGGAGAUGUGACUACAAUAAUCAUGGUGGAAAUAUUCGGCUAGAUGUUCGGGUUUAUCUGGUGACGAGACAAUGAAAAUAUUUGGCUGGAAAUGCAUCUAAAGUGCUUUUAAAGAAAAGGAAUGGCCGAUAGGAAUUACUGAUUUCAUGCUUUCCUUCUACGACGAACUUCAUGGCGAUUUAUCUGGCACAAUUGCAGCGUUCAGGUCUUCAACAGUUAUUUAUGUUCUAUUGACUGGUCUCGUAUCUUCGGUGCUUUUCAUUGCAAAUUUCAUUGUUAUCUGUAAGAUUUUCUGAUACCGAUAUUAUCUAUAAUAAUUUCUCUUGUUUUUGGAAAGUAAAUUAACUAUGUAAAAGUUUGAUUGAUAAAAAUACUAGGUUAAAAAAAUUAGAUUUUGGCUUUAAUAUUUAAAAAAAACUUUUGCUGGAAUUUAAGGUAUUCGAGAAAGUUUUAGUCUUAAUUUUCUUACGAAGAUUUACUUUUUAAGCCUUCUGCGCAAACUUUCAAAAUUUCUAGCAAAAUGUUUUAGGUACAUUUCUGUUAAAUGCAAAAGAAUUAUCUGCCAUAUUUCUAUCUUCCUCAGGCACGCAGUUUUCCUAAACUCUAAACUGUUCUCGUCGUUUAACUUUAUUGUAUCACUCCAUUUUUUAAAAAAAACUGUCGCUGCCAUGAUACCAGUAAUUUAAAACAUUUGUACUAGACAUUCACCUUGUACCAAGAAAACUUGUCAACUAUAUUUUUUAGAAUGCUUAAAAAUUCCGUUAUAAAAAAAAGUUUAAAUUCGAACUUUAGUUUAUUCUUUUACGAGUUGGCUAAUUUGUCUCAUAUUAGCGUGAAGUAGAAUGGGGGUUUUCAAUCAGGAACUCCUAUACCAAAAAGAAUAGUUCACAUUGUAUAAAGCAAAUUCUAAAGUGAAUAAAUCGUAAAUAAAAGUGUGUAGAAAUAUUCGUAUUAUAGUUUCGGUACUACAAUGCUAGAGUGCUUUAGAAUGAUCUAAGCUUAAAUUUUCUAAAUUUGUAUUUAUUUGGAGCGUAAAUUUUGGCACAAUUUAAUUUAACAAAAACCUGACAUUCAAACUUCGAAAAAGGGACUUAAAUACAAAAUUUUUUAAAUUAAACAGUUAUUGCUAUAUCUAAUUGCUUAAUUUAUGAACCUUGUUUUACAGUAGUUCACAAACUAUUUAAAUUAACUUUUAGUAUUCAUGCUAGAACAUUCAAAAAUAAAAUCUCUAAACAAAUUCGCAGACAUGUCUCGUUUCUUCUUUAUUGAUGCAUUAAUGGUUUUGUAAUAAAUCUCUUUAACUGAAUUUAGACGGAUCCACACAAACUCUAUACACCAAAAUUGUGAGAAAUAAAAUUUCUAAAUAUCCUCCACCCCUGCACUUUUCACGGAUUCAUAACUUGGAAUCAUAAACUUGACAGUGAACAAGUCAUAAUGUACUAUACUAUUCUAAAUACAAAUUUAAUAAAUUUAAUUUAAAUUUCUAAAUACAUUGAAAAAAAAUAUUAUUUGUAUACUGUAAUAUAAAUUUACCUCUCAUGUACAAAACUAGAUUUAUAGCUAAGUAAUUUUUUGAAAAACAAAGGAAGGAAUUCAGUCUUAACUUAAUAGAGGAAUGUUUUACACUCUAAGCAGAGGGAGAUAUUAUAAAGGUGCUCAUUAAAAGGAAAACAGGACUUCAAAUUUUAGGUUUUCUAAAUUGUAUAUUUGAGCAUAUUUUUACUGUUCUACAUGCUUUAACUUGCAGUUAAAAUAAUUUAUAUACGAACUCUCAUGUCAUGCAAAGGUUUAUAUAGACUUAGUGUAGUUAAGACCGAUUAUAAAAUUUAAAUUAAAAUUGUUAUCGAAGUAACUGCUUGUUUUUACAUUAAUAGUUAAAAAGUCUGGAUGUAUUAUCUGGAUAAUUUAAAAAAGUUGUAGCCAUUUACGAGUUAGAAGAGGGGAAAAAUUUUCACAACUUACUAAACUGAUUUUUUUUUAUGAAUGAAUAUUUUUUGUUAAAGUACUUAAAGGCUGUAACGUUUAUAUAUUUAAAGAAAAAUAAAAUUCAAAUAUUUUUGGUUGGAAAAUUUUCAGGGAAGUUUAAUGUCACUUAUUUUUGCUGCUGAAGUAGAAAAAUAAUCCGUAAUUUACUAAUCACUUAACUUACCUUAACAUUUUACAUCUAACACUAACUUGCUGCUUCAGUAGUGGAAUAAGUUUCUUUAAAUUCCCCUAAAACAGCAAAUAUUAUGCAGAAUUGAGUAAAAAGACUUAAAAUUAACGGUAUAAAGAAAAUUUCGCAAAAAAAUCUAUAAAAUGUAAUUUUUCCCGAAACUUUUGGUUUAAUAAUAUUCCCGUUUUGCCUAAAUUUUAAGUUUUUCUUUCUAAAAAGUAAAAUAUUAGCAUGUAGAACAGUUUUUAUUUUUUACGAGCACAAAAUAGUGAAUUCCUUCAUAAAAUACUAAACAGCAGUUUAAAAUCUUUUAAAGCUUAUUAAAUUUUUAAAUAUAAUUAAAUGAAAUGAUUCUCUUUAAAGAAACUAAUACUUGAAAGUUUACAAAUUUAUUAUCGUGAAGGUGUAGUACAUUUUGUACCUUUCCUAAUUGUUUGUGAUUUUUUUCAAAUUGCAUCUUCGUAAUAUCUUGCCUGAUGUAAUAUUUUGAGUAUUUUAAAGCGUUGAAAACAGUUUCAAGAUAAAAAUGCAGUUCUAUCUUAAAGUUCUAUUAGUUAAUUUUAACUGUAGUACGGAAUUUUCACUAAUAAAAGCUUUAAAAUUCUUAAAAAGAAAAGGUAAAAACAAAAUAUUAAACAAUUAUAAGAAGCACAUAUAAAACAAAAUGCAAAUAUAGCUGUCUACAAGGACUACACAUUUUCUUAAUCGUCUGCACCCCUCGUCCGAUACCAUAUUUUCCUCUAAUAUACAGAUUUUUACUAUUUUCAACUCUGCAGAAAGAAUCCAGUCUAAAAUUUAAAGCAUUAUUAGCAAUCAAUGAAUUAUACUGUCUUCUGUCUUAAAUCUCUAUAAAUUUUUUUAAAAAAAUAAGGAUUUGUAUUAAAACAGAUUGCUGCGUUUUAAUAUGAAAAGCUAUGAAAAUGCUUUUAUUAAAGUUUUCCCAAAGUUUUCAAAAUUUCUAAAAGGCUGAACAAAGUUAUUAUGAGCUAGUAUAUUAUGUAAUGGGAAGUAGAAUAAGCUCUGGUUAUAUAAAAUUUCAUAACAGUUAAAUUGAUUUUUAAAAUGUGCCUGCUCUCUUUAAACAUUGAAAAUUUGAUCGAAUUAAGGCCGCUAGGCUAUAUUUAGGAAAUUACUGCUCUUUUUCUAUUCCAGUUUCGUAGCUCAAUCCCAGCAUGAGAUCAGUUGACGAAUGAUAGAAUUUUAUGUCGUUUUAUUCUGUAGUAAUGUUUUAAGACUACCUGUUCUGGAAAUCUGUGUGCCUGAGAUGUUAAGUUGAAAUUGUGUACUACUAGAAUAGGUAGACAAUGCUUUUUUAAUAAAGGUAUGAGUUAUAUUUUUUAAAAUACAACAAAUUGACCGAAAUUUUAAUUUCUUUAAAAUUAAGUUAAUUGAUAUAGCGCUAACAUAAAAGCUUGUGUAGGACGGAAAAUUUAGAAUUUUCUGAGCAAGUGUGGAGUUCGAAUUGGUAGCGGUAGGCGGCAGUUCUGCUCCCUCUUCCCCUCUUGUACGUUUCUGUACGUAAAAACUCUCCGCUCUGACGUACUUUAAUUUAGAACGUUCUUUAUGUUUAGAAAUUUAAGUCUUCAAAGUGAGAUAUUGUAACUUAGAAAUUGAA